UACGGAGGAUGCAAGCGUUAUCCGGAAUGAUUGGGCGUAAAGCGUCCGCAGGUGGUGAUGUAAGUCUGCUGUCAAAGCGUCUAGCUCAACUAGAUACAGGCAGUGGAAACUACAUGACUAGAGUGCGUUCGGGGCAGAGGGAAUUCCUGGUGUAGCGGUGAAAUGCGUAGAUAUCAGGAAGAACACCGGUGGCGAAAGCGCUCUGCUAGGCCGCAACUGACACUGAGGGACGAAAGCUAGGGGAGCGAAUGGG
Molecule: ribosomal RNA, 253 nt
Filed under: uncultured bacterium
Lineage: Bacteria
Description: partial 16S ribosomal RNA
Rfam family: Bacterial small subunit ribosomal RNA
Source: RNAcentral